RNAcentral lists this ribosomal RNA (504 nucleotides) under uncultured bacterium. RNAcentral's name for it is "partial 16S ribosomal RNA". It matches the Rfam family "Bacterial small subunit ribosomal RNA", at positions 30 to 523 of the family's 1533-position model. The record is from RNAcentral.
AUUGAACGCUGGCGGCAGGCCUAACACAUGCAAGUCGAACGGUAGCACAGAGAGCUUGCUCUCGGGUGACGAGUGGCGGACGGGUGAGUAACGUCUGGGAAACUGCCCGAUGGAGGGGGAUAACUACUGGAAACGGUAGCUAAUACCGCAUAACGUCGCAAGACCAAAGUGGGGGACCUUCGGGCCUCACACCCUCGGAUGUGCCCAGAUGGGAUUAGCUAGUAGGUGGGGUAAUGGCUCACAUAGGCGACGAUCCCUAGCUGGUCUGAGAGGAUGACCGGCCACCCUGGAACUGAGACACGGUCCAGACUCCUACGGGAGGCAGCAGUGGGGAAUAUUGCACAAUGGGCGCAAGCCUGAUGCAGCCAUGCCGCGUGUAUGAAGAAGGCCUUCGGGUUGUAAAGUACUUUCAGCGGGGAGGAAGGCGGUGAAGUUAAUAGCUUCACCGAUUGACGUUACCCGCAGAAGAAGCACCGGCUAACUCCGUGCCAGCCGCCGCCGUAA